AGGAUGGAAUACAACUGUGGAAGAGCAGAAAUCAGAUUAUGAGAAGUUGGAGGGUUUGUUGACUUCAAUGUGCUUUAAAAUGUAUGCCAAGAAGGACGAUAUUGCUGUGUGGCAGAAAUCUUCAGAUAGUAGUUGCUACAAUAAGCUUGCUGAGCCAGAUGUCUACCCUGCCAAGUGUGAUGAUAGUCUUGAACCAGAUUCAGCAUGGUACACUCCAAUCCGCCCGUGUGUUGUAGUCCCAAAGCCAGAACUUAAGAAGUCAGCCUUAGAGUCCCUGCCAAAGUGGCCAGAGAGGUUGCAAGUCGCACCUGAACGCAUCUCAAAUGUUCCCGGUGGGAGUAGCAGUGCUUUAAAGCAUGAUGACAGCAAGUGGAAGGUCCGAG
RNAcentral lists this long non-coding RNA (383 nucleotides) under Gossypium raimondii (Peruvian cotton). RNAcentral describes it as "long non-coding RNA (GRAI_LNC006765)". The record is from RNAcentral. Lineage: Eukaryota; Viridiplantae; Streptophyta; Magnoliopsida; Malvales; Malvaceae.